Molecule: long non-coding RNA, 719 nt
Organism: Mauremys reevesii (Reeves's turtle)
Lineage: Eukaryota; Metazoa; Chordata; Testudines; Geoemydidae
Exons: 3
Source: RefSeq, a predicted model, not a curated record
GAUACUGAUACAGAUCCUCUACUGAUGUAUAGUGGAACAGAUACAUUGUCAUCCAUGAAACGACAUCAGUGUACACAGGCUGAGGAUUUGUACACGGUUAUGCUCUUGUGUGAACUGUCCCCCUAAACCAGGGGUGGGCAAACUAGGGUCUGGGGACCACAUCUGGCCCUUCAGACAUUUUGAACCGGCCCUUGAGCUCCCACUGGGGAGUAGAGUCCAGCGCUCGCCCCGCUCCGGCGUUCCAGCCAGGGAGCGGGGUCAAGGGUUGGUCCCACUCCAUGUGUGCUGUGGCUCUGCAUGUCUCCCAUGUGUAGGGGCAUCCAGGAGACUCCGCAUGCUGCUCCCGCCCCAAGUGUGGCCCCCACAGUGUAGGAGCUGGAGAGGGGACAUGCCGCUGUUUCCAGGAGCUGCUUGAGCUAUGUUUGGUGGCCGAUCUGAAAGGAGGAAGAGGGCUGAAUGAACAGCACUGACUGUAUGAUCUUUCCAGACCUGGGCCUGUGUGUUUACCAAUCAACUGACAGAUACUGACACACUGAAGAAGGGAAACUGAGGCACAGCUCCAUCUAGAUGCCAGGAUGAGAAUGGUGUUGCGGAGCAAGGAGAUCUUGGAGUCAUCGUGGAUAGUUCUCUGAAGACAUCCACGCAGUGUGAAGCGGCAGUCAAAAAAGCAAACAGGAUGUUAGGAAUCAUUAAAAAAGGGAUAGAGAAUAAGACAGAGA